Molecule: long non-coding RNA, 357 nt
Filed under: Nicotiana benthamiana
Lineage: Eukaryota; Viridiplantae; Streptophyta; Magnoliopsida; Solanales; Solanaceae
Description: long non-coding RNA (NBEN_LNC028297)
Source: RNAcentral
UCUGGGCAUAAGACGUUUGUUUACAAACUCAAUAUGCUCUGGCCUCAUUUCACUUUUUUGAACAGCCCUUGCCUCAGGCACUUCCUCAUCAGAUUUGGUGUCACAGAAGUUCCGAGUGAUUUGAAGAUCAGUAGACAAUCCAUAUAGACAAGGCCAUCUUUGCCUUGUAUAGUCAUCAUAUCCCUCACUAGGGAUGUCCAAAAUUUUGCCCAGCUUGGGAGCAUUAAACUUCACCUUCAUUCCUUUCACUGUGCUAGUUUCAAGUCCAUUUUUCACUUUCCCAUUUGCCGUGAACUCAACAAGUUCCUUCCUGGCCAAUUUACCAUCCAUUUGAAGGACCAUGUCCUUCAACCCCUG